Molecule: ribosomal RNA, 296 nt
Filed under: uncultured microorganism
Description: partial 16S ribosomal RNA
Rfam family: Bacterial small subunit ribosomal RNA
Source: RNAcentral
GUGCCAGCAGCCGCGGUAAUACGAAGGGGGCUAGCGUUGUUCGGAAUUACUGGGCGUAAAGCGCACGUAGGCGGAUAUUUAAGUCAGGGGUGAAAUCCCAGAGCUCAACUCUGGAACUGCCUUUGAUACUGGGUAUCUUGAGUAUGGAAGAGGUAAGUGGAAUUGCGAGUGUAGAGGUGAAAUUCGUAGAUAUUCGCAGGAACACCCAGUGGCGAAGGCGGCUUACUGGUCCAUUACCUGACCGCUGAGGUGCGAAGAGCGUGGGGAGCAAACAGGAUUAGAUACCCUGGUAGUCC